This 633-nucleotide ribosomal RNA is filed under the name uncultured organism. Its description in RNAcentral is "bacterial SSU rRNA". It matches the Rfam family "Bacterial small subunit ribosomal RNA", at positions 1 to 635 of the family's 1533-position model. The record is from RNAcentral.
UCGCCCUUAGAGUUGAUCCUGGCUCAGGACGAACGCUGGCGGCGUGCUUAACACAUGCAAGUCGAACGAGAAUUUUGAGAUGAAUUUUUCGAAAUGAUUCUUAAGAGGAAAGUGGCGGACGGGCGAGUAACGCGUGAGCAACCGGCCUUAUGCAGGGGGAUAACAUCGGGAAACCGGUGCUAAUACCGCAUAAGACUACAACAUCGCAUGGUGUAGUGGUCAAAAUGAUAGUGGCAUAAGAUGGGCUCGCGUCCAAUUAGCUAGUUGGUAGGGUAGAAGCCUACCAAGGCGACGAUUGGUAGCCGAACUGAGAGGUUGAUCGGCCGCAUUGGGACUGAGACACGGCCCAGACUCCUACGGGAGGCAGCAGUGGGGAAUAUUGCGCAAUGGGGGAAACCCUGACGCAGCAACGCCGCGUGAAGGAAGAAGGCUUUCGGGUUGUAAACUUCCUUGAUUGGGGAAGAAAUAGACGGUACCCAAAAAACAAGCCACGGCUAACUACGUGCCAGCAGCCGCGGUAACACGUAGGUGGCAAGCGUUGUCCGGAAUUACUGGGUGUAACGGGCGUGUAGGCGGGAGUGCAAGUCAGAUGUGAAAUUCCGUGGCUCAACCACGGGGCUGCAUCUGAAACUG